RNAcentral lists this ribosomal RNA (253 nucleotides) under uncultured bacterium. Its description in RNAcentral is "partial 16S ribosomal RNA". It matches the Rfam family "Bacterial small subunit ribosomal RNA", at positions 524 to 776 of the family's 1533-position model. The record is from RNAcentral.
UACGGGGGGGGCAAGCGUUGUUCGGAAUUACGGGGCGUAAAGGGCCAGUAGGCGGCCAACUAAGUCGGAUGUGAAAUCCCCAGGCUCAACUUGGGAACUGCAUCCGAUACUGGAUGGCUUGAAUUCGGGAGAGGGAUGCAGAAUUCCAGGUGUAGCGGUGAAAUGCGUAGAUAUCAUCAGGAAUACCGGAGGCGAAGGCAGCCCCCUGGGCCAAUACUGACGCUCAGGCACGAAAGCGUGGGGAGCAAACAGG